UACGAAGGGGACUAGCGUUGUUCGGAAUUACUGGGCGUAAAGCGCACGUAGGCGGACUUGUAAGUCAGGGGUGAAAUCCCGGGGCUCAACCUCGGAACUGCCUUUGAUACUGCGAGUCUCGAGUCCGAUAGAGGUGGGUGGAAUUCCUAGUGUAGAGGUGAAAUUCGUAGAUAUUAGGAAGAACACCGGUGGCGAAGGCGGCCCACUGGGACGGUACUGACGCUAAGGCGCGAAAGCGUGGGGAGCGAACAGG
This 253-nucleotide ribosomal RNA is filed under the name uncultured bacterium. RNAcentral describes it as "partial 16S ribosomal RNA". It matches the Rfam family "Bacterial small subunit ribosomal RNA", at positions 524 to 776 of the family's 1533-position model. The record is from RNAcentral.